UACAGAGGCCUCAAGCGUCGUUCGGAAUUACUGAGCGUAAAGCGCACGUAGGCGGACAUUUAAGUCAGGGGUGAAAUCCCGAGGCUCAACCUCGGAACUGCCUUUGAUACUGGGUGUCUUGAGUAUGGAAGAGGUAAGUGGAAUUGCGAGUGUAGAGGUGAAAUUCGUAGAUAUUCGCAGGAACACCAGUGGCGAAGGCGGCUUACUGGUCCAUUACUGACGCUGAGGUGCGAAAGCGUGGGGAGCAAACAGG
RNAcentral lists this ribosomal RNA (253 nucleotides) under uncultured bacterium. RNAcentral's name for it is "partial 16S ribosomal RNA". It matches the Rfam family "Bacterial small subunit ribosomal RNA", at positions 524 to 776 of the family's 1533-position model. The record is from RNAcentral.